Molecule: ribosomal RNA, 253 nt
Filed under: uncultured bacterium
Lineage: Bacteria
Description: partial 16S ribosomal RNA
Rfam family: Bacterial small subunit ribosomal RNA
Source: RNAcentral
UACGUAGGGGGCAAGCGUUGUCCGGAUUUAUUGGGCGUAAAGAGCGUGUAGGCGGCCAGACAGGUCCGUUGUGAAAACUCGAGGCUCAACCUCGAGACGCCGAUGGAAACCGUCUGGCUAGAGUCCGGAAGAGGAGAGUGGAAUUCCUGGUGUAGCGGUGAAAUGCGCAGAUAUCAGGAAGAACACCGAUGGCGAAGGCAGUUCUCUGGGACGGUACUGACGCUGAGACGCGAAAGCGUGGGGAGCGAACAGG